This 21-nucleotide non-coding RNA is filed under the name Caenorhabditis elegans. The record is from RNAcentral. Lineage: Eukaryota; Metazoa; Nematoda; Chromadorea; Rhabditida; Rhabditidae.
UGUUUAGGCAUUGAAUAUUUU